CUCCUACGGGAGGCAGCAGUGGGGAAUAUUGCACAAUGGGCGCAAGCCUGAUGCAGCCAUGCCGCGUGUAUGAAGAAGGCCUUCGGGUUGUAAAGUACUUUCAGUMGUGAGGAAGGYGGYGUMGUUAAUAGCKGCRUYGUUUGACGUUAGCGRCAGAAGAAGCACCGGCUAACUCCGUGCCAGCAGCCGCGGUAAUACGGAGGGUGCGAGCGUUAAUCGGAAUUACUGGGCGUAAAGCGCAUGCAGGUGGUUUGUUAAGUCAGAUGUGAAAGCCCGGGGCUCAACCUCGGAAUAGCAUUUGAAACUGGCAGACUAGAGUACUGUAGAGGGGGGUAGAAUUUCAGGUGUAGCGGUGAAAUGCGUAGAGAUYUGAAGGAAUACCGGUGGCGAAGGCGGCCCCCUGGACAGAUACUGACACUCAGAUGCGAAAGCGUGGGGAGCAAACAGGAUUAGAUACCCUGGUAGUCCACGCCGUAAACGAUGUCUACUUGGAGGUUGUGGCCUUGAGCCGUGGCUUUCGGAGCUAACGCGUUAAGUAGACCGCCUGGGGAGUACGGUCGCAAGAUUAAAACUCAAAUGAAUUGACGGGGGCCCGCACAAGCGGUGGAGCAUGUGGUUUAAUUCGAUGCAACGCGAAGAACCUUACCUACUCUUGACAUCCAGAGAACUUUCCAGAGAUGGAUUGGUGCCUUCGGGAACUCUGA
This 704-nucleotide ribosomal RNA is filed under the name Vibrio sp. RNAcentral describes it as "bacterial SSU rRNA". It matches the Rfam family "Bacterial small subunit ribosomal RNA", at positions 336 to 1032 of the family's 1533-position model. Lineage: Bacteria; Pseudomonadati; Pseudomonadota; Gammaproteobacteria; Vibrionales; Vibrionaceae. The record is from RNAcentral.